Molecule: small RNA, 397 nt
Filed under: Drosophila willistoni
Lineage: Eukaryota; Metazoa; Arthropoda; Insecta; Diptera; Drosophilidae
Description: GK28225
Source: RNAcentral
UUCGUGGAGUUUUCUUGUAGUCGCGUUUCGCAUCUGUGUAUAAGUGUUGCGUUCGUGUGUGUGUGUGUGUUUUAGUCAAUCGAAGUGUAUUAGUGUGAGUGAAUUUCAAUUCAGCUCGUGCACUGUGGGAAAAAGCAACGAAAAAGCUUCAAAAGUUAUAAUCAAAUGUGUAUGGCAAUUGCGUUGGUUAGACCUGUUCCCACAUCUAUGGAGUUUCAUCUAGACAGUGCAGAAUACUGCCAGGCACAGCACAAAUAAAAAGUAAUUAAAAUCUAACCCAAGGGGCAUCGUGAUUGCAAGCCUGAUUGAACGCUUUUCAGCGGUCAGAACAGAAGUCAACCGAUCCAACAGAUCAGACGUGGACAGAGAAUCCAAACUGAUAUAUAUAAAUAUAACU